AAUCAACGCUGGCGGCGUGCCUCAGACAUGCAAGUCGAACGCGAAAGUCCCCUUCGGGGGACAAGUAGAGUGGCGCACGGGUGAGUAACACGUAGGUAAUCUACCUUCGGGUGGGGAAUAACAACCGGAAACGGUUGCUAAUACCGCAUAAUGCAGCGGCACCUAAUGGUGACAGUUGUUAAAGCGGGGGAUCGCAAGAUCUCGCGCCUGAAGAGGAGCCUGCGGCGGAUUAGCUAGNGGUAGGGUAAUGGCCUACCAAGGCGACGAUCCGUAGCCGGCCUGAGAGGGGCGGUCGGCCACACUGACACUGACAUACGGGUCAGACUCCUACGGGAGGCAGCAGUCGGGAA
RNAcentral lists this ribosomal RNA (350 nucleotides) under uncultured bacterium. RNAcentral's name for it is "bacterial SSU rRNA". It matches the Rfam family "Bacterial small subunit ribosomal RNA", at positions 32 to 361 of the family's 1533-position model. The record is from RNAcentral.